UACGGAGGGGGCAAGCGUUAUUCGGAAUUAUUGGGCGUAAAGGGCGCGUAGGCGGCUAGAUGUGUCAAAGGUGAAAUCCCUCGGCUCAACUGAGGAACUGCCUUUGAAACUGUCUGGCUUGAGUACGGGAGAGGCGAGUGGAAUUCCUGGUGUAGCGGUGAAAUGCGCAGAUAUCAGGAGGAACACCGAUUGCGAAGGCAGCUCGCUGGAACGUUACUGACGCUGAGACGCGAAAGCGUGGGGAGCAAACAGG
RNAcentral lists this ribosomal RNA (253 nucleotides) under uncultured bacterium. RNAcentral's name for it is "partial 16S ribosomal RNA". It matches the Rfam family "Bacterial small subunit ribosomal RNA", at positions 524 to 776 of the family's 1533-position model. The record is from RNAcentral.